RNAcentral lists this ribosomal RNA (521 nucleotides) under Salmonella enterica subsp. enterica serovar Adjame. RNAcentral's name for it is "partial 23S ribosomal RNA". It matches the Rfam family "Bacterial large subunit ribosomal RNA", at positions 80 to 584 of the family's 2925-position model. The record is from RNAcentral. Lineage: Bacteria; Pseudomonadati; Pseudomonadota; Gammaproteobacteria; Enterobacterales; Enterobacteriaceae.
GGUAAGGUGAUAUGAACCGUUAUAACCGGCGAUACCCGAAUGGGGAAACCCAGUGUGAUUCGUCACACUAUCAUUAACUGAAUCCAUAGGUUAAUGAGGCGAACCGGGGGAACUGAAACAUCUAAGUACCCCGAGGAAAAGAAAUCAACCGAGAUUCCCCCAGUAGCGGCGAGCGAACGGGGAGGAGCCCAGAGCCUGAAUCAGCAUGUGUGUUAGUGGAAGCGUCUGGAAAGGCGCGCGAUACAGGGUGACAGCCCCGUACACAAAAGCGCAUGUGCUGUGAGCUCGAUGAGUAGGGCGGGACACGUGGUAUCCUGUCUGAAUAUGGGGGGACCAUCCUCCAAGGCUAAAUACUCCUGACUGACCGAUAGUGAACCAGUACCGUGAGGGAAAGGCGAAAAGAACCCCGGCGAGGGGAGUGAAAAAGAACCUGAAACCGUGUACGUACAAGCAGUGGGAGCCCCACCACCAAAGCAUUCUCUGGUGUUGAAGGCCCUGCAAAGCAGCAUCGCGGUGGCGGA